UCAGCUGUAUUGUGCACGCUUCUAACAAUCUUUAUCCAAACACUUGUGCACCUUUGAAAGAAGGGGGGAAACCUUCCCCCUUCUUAUUUACAUACACCGCUUCUAUAAUGUCGAAUGUGAUCUUGUGCCUUUUCCUUUAAGGAGGGCCUGACUUAAUGUUAAUACAACUUUUAACAACGGAUCUCUUGGCUCUCGCAUCGAUGAAGAACGCAGCGAAAUGCGAUAAGUAAUGUGAAUUGCAGAAUUCAGUGAAUCAUCGAAUCUUUGAACGCACCUUGCGCUCCCCGGUAUUCCAGGGAGCACACCUGUUCGAGUGUCGUGAAAUUCUCAAGCUUAUAGAUUGUUUUUCAUCUUAGGCUUGGUUGUUGGGCUUUGCCGUGCCCCUCUUUAUUGAGGGAACGGCUGGCCUUAAAAGCAUUAGCUGACUCUCGUGUAGGAUUGGUUCUACUCAGCGUGAUAAUAAUUCUGACCGCCGAGGACAUCUUUCGGGAUGGCCAAUUCUUGCUUGGGUUGCUUCAAACUCUGGUUUACAGAUCUCUAUAUCUGUUCCACUAUCAAGUUUGACCUCGAAUCAGGUGGGACUACCCGCUGAACUUAAGCAUAUCAAUAAGCGGAGGAAAAGAAACUAACAAGGAUUCCCCUAGUAACGGCGAGUGAAGCGGGAAGAGCUCAAAUUUAAAAUCUGGCAGUC
This 691-nucleotide ribosomal RNA is filed under the name uncultured fungus. RNAcentral's name for it is "eukaryotic LSU rRNA". The stretch from base 166 to 319 matches the Rfam family "5.8S ribosomal RNA". The record is from RNAcentral. Lineage: Eukaryota; Fungi.